RNAcentral lists this ribosomal RNA (397 nucleotides) under uncultured bacterium. RNAcentral's name for it is "partial 16S ribosomal RNA". It matches the Rfam family "Bacterial small subunit ribosomal RNA", at positions 523 to 918 of the family's 1533-position model. The record is from RNAcentral.
AUACGAAGGGUGCAAGCGUUACUCGGAAUUACUGGGCGUAAAGCGUGCGUAGGUGGUUGUUUAAGUCUGUCGUGAAAGCCCUGGGCUCAACCUGGGAAUGGCGAUGGAAACUGGGCGACUAGAGUGUGGCGGAGGGUAGUGGAAUUCCUGGUGUAGCAGUGAAAUGCGUAGAGAUCAGGAGGAACAUCCGUGGCGAAGGCGACUGCCUGGGCCAACACUGACACUGAGGCACGAAAGCGUGGGGAGCAAACAGGAUUAGAUACCCUGGUAGUCCACGCCCUAAACGAUGCGAACUGGAUGUUGGGUGCAAUUUGGCACGCAGUAUCGAAGCUAACGCGUUAAGUUCGCCGCCUGGGGAGUACGGUCGCAAGACUGAAACUCAAAGGAAUUGACGGGG